UACGAAGGAUUCGAGCGUUAUCCGGAUUUAUUGGGUUUAAAGGGUGCGUAGGUGGACUAAUAAGUCAGUGGUGAAAGCCCGCAGCUUAACUGCGGAACUGCCAUUGAUACUGUUAGUCUUGAGUACAGUUGAGGUGGGCGGAAUGUGUCAUGUAGCGGUGAAAUGCUUAGAUAUGACACAGAACACCGAUUGCGAAGGCAGCUCACUAAGCUGUAACUGACACUGAGGCACAAAAGCGUGGGGAGCAAACAGG
RNAcentral lists this ribosomal RNA (253 nucleotides) under uncultured bacterium. Its description in RNAcentral is "partial 16S ribosomal RNA". It matches the Rfam family "Bacterial small subunit ribosomal RNA", at positions 524 to 776 of the family's 1533-position model. The record is from RNAcentral.